AAGGAGGCCCGCCCUAGAGGACGCCGGCGCUGAGGGGGCCGAGCCUGUCAGGGGUCGGUUAGCGGCCGCUCACCCCUUUUUGCAUAUUCAUGAAGCCGAACGAGGCAGACCGCCCAGGCAAGCCUUGGAGAGAUCAUGCAUUAUUCAUGAGGCAGCGUCUCGCCCCGCCCUCAAAGGACCUUAUUGACUAUUCAUAAGCCUAAGCGGGUUUGGGCCGGAAACGGCCGUUGGGUACUCACGCUCCUGAGAGAGGCGUCGACAGCUGAAGUGAGGGCUGUCCAGACGCAAGGUUUCCGGAGAAAGACAGUGCUUGAGCAUCGUCAGUUUUCCUAAGAUGGGGACACUGAGGCACACAACUUGCUCAAGAUGAAAUGGUCUGACUUGUUAAAAGAAUCCUGGUACAUUACUACAAUGGCCACUGCUCAGCUCUCUCACUCUAUCAAAAUUCAUAAGGCAUCUAAGGAAACAGUUUUUCCAUCCCAAAUCACUAAUGAGCAUGAGUCAUUGAUCAUGGUGAAGAAGCUUUUUGCUACUUCUAUCUCAUGUAUAACAUAUCUAAGAGGACUGUUUCCAGAGAGCUCUUAUGGAGAACGCCAUUUGGAUGACCUCAGUUUAAAAAUCCUUCGAGAAGAUAAAAAAUGUCCUGGGUCACUGCAUAUUAUCAAAUGGAUCCAAGGUUGUUUUGAUGCUUUGGAAAAGAAAUACCUACACAUGGCAGUACUUACACUUUACACAAAUCCCAAGGAACCUGAGAAGGUGACUGAGAUAUACCAGUUCAAAUUCAAAUACACAAAAGAAGGAGCCACAAUGGAUUUUGACAGCAGUAGUGCAAGCUUUGAAAGUGGGACAAACAGUGAAGAUAUUAAGAAAGCCAGUAUUCUACUGAUCCGUAAAUUAUAUAUACUGAUGCAGAACCUUGGACCCCUUCCUAAUGAUGUUAUACUUACUAUGAAACUCCACUACUAUAAUGCAGUGACUCCACAUGAUUACCAACCCCCUGGUUUUAAAGAAGGGGUAAACUCACACCUCCUGCUGUUCGAGGGGGAGCCUGUUAACCUGCAAGUGGGAUUGGUCUCCACUGGUUUUCAUAGCAUGAAAGUAAAAGUCACAACUGAGGUCACCAGAGUGUCUGAUUUGGAGAACAAUCUCUUUCAGGAGAACAGCACUACUGAGAUUGCUCAUCAGGGUCUAGACUUCGAUGAGGAAGAAGAGGAAUGCAACAAUCACAUUCAAAGAAUGAAUUUUGCGUACAGUCAGCAAAGUUCUGAGAGCUCCAGGAAGAAGAGGAAGGUCAGCGAACCAGUGAAAGCCUUCAUCCCUGACAGAAAAUGAAAGAUGCCUUCGCUGCAUUUAUUCUAAAAUAAUUUUAUUUUGCAACAAACAUGCAUGAAGUAUCUUAAUUAGGAAAGUCCCUCUGGUGUCUGGUUCUUUCAUUCUCCAGCUCACUUCUGCCAGGAAGAGGCUGGAAAUGUUCAUCAGUGUCAACGCUGCAUUUAUACAAGUUCAAAGUUGUGUAUGUGUUUUAAAAAUAACUAUUAGAGCCAG
Molecule: RNA transcript, 1545 nt
Organism: Canis lupus familiaris (dog)
Lineage: Eukaryota; Metazoa; Chordata; Mammalia; Carnivora; Canidae
Gene: HORMAD2
Gene name: HORMA domain containing 2
Exons: 13
Source: RefSeq, a predicted model, not a curated record